RNAcentral lists this ribosomal RNA (934 nucleotides) under Acrobeloides sp. SK-34. Its description in RNAcentral is "eukaryotic LSU rRNA". The stretch from base 1 to 739 matches the Rfam family "Eukaryotic large subunit ribosomal RNA", at positions 71 to 664 of the family's 3401-position model. Lineage: Eukaryota; Metazoa; Nematoda; Chromadorea; Rhabditida; Cephalobidae. The record is from RNAcentral.
GGCAGAUCUCCAGUACGGGCGAGUGAACGGGGAAGAGCCCAGCGCUAAAUCCUGUUGCUCUAACGGGUAACGGGAGGUGUAGCGUAUAGUAACGCGAAUUUCCUUGAUGGCUGUCGACUUAAAUUCUCCUUGACUGGGGUUCCAGAGAAGGUGAAAGGCCUGUUCAGUCGAUGGCCGUCUUGGAUUCCGUUCUACUUGGAGUCGGGUUGUUUGGGAACGCAGCCCAAAUUGGGUGGUAAACUUCAUCUAAGGCUAAAUACGGCCACGAAACCGAUAGCAAACAAGUACCGUGAGGGAAAGUUGAAAAGUACUUUGAAGAGAGAGUUCAAGAGGACGUGAAACCGGUAGGAUGGAAACGGAUAGAGCCAACGAACAAGCCCGUAUUCAGCUAGUCGGCUGCGUGCGGCAUGCCUGUGUGCUCGUUCAGGGUGCAUGGGUGUGUGCGGUAUGCGGUCGGCUAGUGCAUUUGCGGGUGAUGUGCGCUGAGGCGUGUGGCGGAGUCCUGCAAACUGUCUGGAGAGGCCUCGCCUUCGGGCUUGAAACCUACAGGCGGGGAGUAGGGUUUCUGCUGCAUGUAGACGAAGCGACUAGGUGCAAACGCGCUGUCGUGCUGCCGGGCUAGCUGCUUGGCCGGUCGCAUGCGACUAGGUCUUGUUGGUUGGUCUUGGUGGUGCGGCAGUGCCCUGGUCGACCCUCGGUGUAAAAGUUGGUCAUCUCUCCGACCCGUCUUGAAACACGGAUAGCUCUCUCUCCCCCCACUUCCGUGCUCCCUAUCCCAGCAUGACUGACCUCGCUAUUUAUCCUUAUCACUGUUUUCAUCAUGCACAGCGCCUAAUAAGUGCCGAUAGGAAGUAGUGAGAUAUAAAGUCUAAAACGGCGGAGGAGAGCUCGGUUGUGAGUGUAAGAUUUGUGUUUUGUCUGCGGUUGGGGCGGG